Molecule: long non-coding RNA, 1239 nt
Filed under: Homo sapiens (human)
Lineage: Eukaryota; Metazoa; Chordata; Mammalia; Primates; Hominidae
Description: non-protein coding lnc-C6orf89-2:1
Source: RNAcentral
UUAAGUUGUUAUCAUGUAUCCACACCUUAGUAUGAAUGAGUCAAUCUGAUCCUUUUCCGCGGGAAAAUCAAAUCUGCCCGAAGCCGCAGCCUCCCGCCGCCCGGGAACGCCAGAGGGGGCGCCCGCAGGGGCCGGGGCGGGGCCGCGGGCGGGGUCUGCGCGCAGGGUGAGUGUGAGCGUGUGUGUGUGCGCGUGUGUGUGUGUGUGCGCGCGUGGCGGGCCGGGGGACGCGGUCCAGAUGCUGGGGACGUGGCGGGUGACAGCAAGAGGUGGUCCUGGUCGCGCGCAUCUUCAUUUGCGCCCGCCCCCUCUCACCACCCCUAUCUCCCAUCAGGGGUCUCCAUCCUGGGGGAGGGGGAGGGUUAUGGGAACCAACGGGCGCCUUUUUGAGAAAGGUCUAUGCAGGGUUGAGAGGGGGCAUAAGUGGGAGGGAGGUGUGCAAAAAAGAUCCCCUCCCAGGGGCUUGGGUGUGGAGGGUCUCUGCUGAGUGUGCGCCCUACUCGGGGGCGGGUCUCAGUUCAGAAACAGACCCUACAUCUCCUUCUGGGGAGGUGUGUGGGGGCGACCCCAGUGCCAGGAGGGACUACCUCGGUUUCCCAGUGGCCCAGGUGGGGUCGGUGCAUGGGCGCCUCCCCCAUCCGUGGUUCCCGCCAGCCGCGGCCUCGCCAAGUCGGCUGCCGAAACCACGCGCCAGCGCCCUUCCACUCCCCCGCCCGUCGUGACCACACGACUGAGCCAGCCUCCAGGUCUAGAAGCUCCUGCCACCCAGUCUGGUGGCAACCAGACUGGGAGAUCGGCCCGAGCUCCCUGGGCUUCUAUGCAGCCAGCACCGAGUAGGCGCGUGCUGUGUGCCUGGCGAGCGAGGGGAGAGUUGGGACACCUCUCCUGCAGUCCUCUUCCCAGCCAAGCCCCUCGCGAUCCCCCGCCCUAGCCCAGCCUUGCCCUCCCGGGCAUGAGGUUGCAGCGCAGAGGCGUCUCCCUGAGUAAGGCUGCACACGUAGACUUGACUCUAGCCCAUCCUCAGCCUCAGCCUAAGCUUUGCCGAGCUGGAACCUCCACUUCCUCGCCCACCGCCUGGCACAUCGAAGCCGAUGUGCCUCGGGCCGGCGGGGAGGCCAAAAACCUGGUGCUGGGCUGGGCAGAGUUGCGCUCUCUGGGCCUUGUUUGUGGCAGCGGGACCAUAAGGGGCUCCUCCGGAUUCUGUUUGAAGUCAAUUCCUGGAACAUCAGAUACUGUCAG